RNAcentral lists this ribosomal RNA (508 nucleotides) under uncultured bacterium. RNAcentral describes it as "partial 16S ribosomal RNA". It matches the Rfam family "Bacterial small subunit ribosomal RNA", at positions 28 to 507 of the family's 1533-position model. The record is from RNAcentral.
GACGAACGCUGGCGGCGUGCCUAAUACAUGCAAGUCGAACGCUUCUUUCCUCCCGAGUUCUUGCACUCAAUUGGAAAGAGGAGUGGCGGACGGGUUAGUAACACGUGGGUAACCUACCCAUCAGAGGGGGAUAACACUUGGAAACAGUUGCUAAUACCGCAUAACAGUUUAUGCCGCAUGGCAUCAGAGUGAAAGGCGCUGUCGGGUGUCGCUGAUGGAUGGACCCGCGGUGCAUUAGCUAGUUGGCGAGGUAACGGCUCACCAAGGCCACGAUGCAUAGCCGACCUGAGAGGGUGAUCGGCCACACUGGGACUGAGACACGGCCCAGACUCCUACGGGAGGCAGCAGUAGGGAAUCUUCGGCAAUGGGCGAAAGUCUGACCGAGCAACGCCGCGUGAGUGAAGAAGGUUUUCGGAUCGUAAAACUCUGUUGUUAGGGAAGAACAAGGGCGUGAGUAACUGAACGUCCCCUGACGGUAUCUAACCAGAAAGCCACGGCUAACUACGUG